This 253-nucleotide ribosomal RNA is filed under the name uncultured bacterium. RNAcentral's name for it is "partial 16S ribosomal RNA". It matches the Rfam family "Bacterial small subunit ribosomal RNA", at positions 524 to 776 of the family's 1533-position model. The record is from RNAcentral.
UACGUAGGGUGCGAGCGUUGUCCGGAAUUAUUGGGCGUAAAGAGCUUGUAGGCGGUCUGUCGCGUCUGCUGUGAAAAUCCGGGGCUCAACCCCGGACUUGCAGUGGGUACGGGCAGACUAGAGUGUGGUAGGGGAGACUGGAAUUCCUGGUGUAGCGGUGAAAUGCGCAGAUAUCAGGAGGAACACCGGUGGCGAAGGCGGUUCUCUGGGCCUUACCUGACGCUGAGGAGCGAAAGCGUGGGGAGCGAGCAGG